RNAcentral lists this ribosomal RNA (452 nucleotides) under uncultured bacterium. RNAcentral's name for it is "bacterial SSU rRNA". It matches the Rfam family "Bacterial small subunit ribosomal RNA", at positions 64 to 507 of the family's 1533-position model. The record is from RNAcentral.
GAACGGUAGCACAGAGAGCUUGCUCUUGGGUGACGAGUGGCGGACGGGUGAGUAAUGUCUGGGAAACUACCCGAUGGAGGGGGAUAACUACUGGAAACGGUAGCUAAUACCGCAUAACGUCUUCGGACCAAAGUGGGGGACCUUCGGGCCUCACACCAUCGGAUGUGCCCAGAUGGGAUUAGCUGGUAGGUGGGGUAACGGCUCACCUAGGCGACGAUCCCUAGCUGGUCUGAGAGGAUGACCAGCCACACUGGAACUGAGACACGGUCCAGACUCCUACGGGAGGCAGCAGUGGGGAAUAUUGCACAAUGGGCGCAAGCCUGAUGCAGCCAUGCCGCGUGUAUGAAGAAGGCCUUCGGGUUGUAAAGUACUUUCAGUGGGGAGGAAGGCGAUGGAGUUAAUAGCUUCGUCGAUUGACGUUACCCGCAGAAGAAGCACCGGCUAACUCCGUG